AUUGUCCUACGGGAGGCAGCAGUGGGGAAUAUUGCACAAUGGGGGAGACCCUGAUGCAGCGACGCCGCGUGAGUGAAGAAGUAUUUCGGUAUGUAAAGCUCUCUCAGCAGGGAAGAUAAUGACGGUACCUGACUAAGAAGCUCCGGCUAAAUACGUGCCAGCAGCCGCGGUAAUACGUAUGGAGCAAGCGUUAUCCGGAUUCACUGGGUGUAAAGGGAGCGCAGACGGCAAGGCAAGUCUGAUGUGAAAGUCCGAGGCUCAACCUCGGGACUGCAUUGGAAACUGUCUGGCUAGAGUGCAGGAGG
Molecule: ribosomal RNA, 305 nt
Filed under: uncultured bacterium
Lineage: Bacteria
Description: bacterial SSU rRNA
Rfam family: Bacterial small subunit ribosomal RNA
Source: RNAcentral